RNAcentral lists this unclassified non-coding RNA (454 nucleotides) under Hevea brasiliensis (rubber tree). Lineage: Eukaryota; Viridiplantae; Streptophyta; Magnoliopsida; Malpighiales; Euphorbiaceae. The record is from RNAcentral.
CAAUAAUUACAUCUUCACCGAACCUUGCUCUGGUCCAAAGUGAGGAAACAGGAAUCCACCCAUCUCUUUCCAAUCCAAGAAAACUCCAUGAACGUGUUGUAUGAAGCUUUUUUCCUUUGUUCAAGAACACUGAUAUUACUUCUGGAUGCUUUGCAAGUUGUGCUGCUUCUUCAUCUUCCAGCAUAGCUGCGAAGCCAUUGAUGUUUUUGGUGUAGGAGUAAAAGAUUUUGUUCUUAGCUUCCUCCUUGCUUUUGGUAAAUGAUCCAAGCAAUUCAUAAUGGGAAUUUUUGACACGCUUUAUAUCAGACAAUUUAGCUUCUGAACCAUGUGAAUGUGAUCCCAAAUACACUACGUAAGACUGGAUGAGAGAAAUUAAUCACCAAUGAACGUUAGAAGAAAAUUAAGGGAAUUCAAAGAAUUUAUAAAAGAAUUAAAAAACAAUAUCAAGUUUUGG